UACAGGGGGGGCAAGCGUUGUUCGGAAUUACUGGGCGUAAAGGGCUCGUAGGCGGCCAACUAAGUCACACGUGAAAUCCCCAGGCUUAACCUGGGAACUGCGUGUGAUACUGGAUGGCUUGAAUUCGGGAGAGGGAUGCAGAAUUCCAGGUGUAGCGGUGAAAUGCGUAGAUAUCUGGAGGAAUACCGGUGGCGAAGGCGGCAUCCUGGACCGACAUUGACGCUGAGGAGCGAAAGCUAGGGGAUCAAACGGG
Molecule: ribosomal RNA, 253 nt
Filed under: uncultured bacterium
Lineage: Bacteria
Description: partial 16S ribosomal RNA
Rfam family: Bacterial small subunit ribosomal RNA
Source: RNAcentral